RNAcentral lists this ribosomal RNA (252 nucleotides) under uncultured bacterium. Its description in RNAcentral is "partial 16S ribosomal RNA". It matches the Rfam family "Bacterial small subunit ribosomal RNA", at positions 99 to 354 of the family's 1533-position model. The record is from RNAcentral.
CGGACGGGUGAGUAAUGUCUGGGAAACUGCCUGAUGGAGGGGGAUAACUACUGGAAAUGGUAGCUAAUACCGCAUAACGUCGCAAGACCAAAGAGGGGGACCUUCGGGCCUCUUGCCAUCGGAUGUGCCCAGAUGGGAUUAGCUUGUUGGUGGGGUAACGGCUCACCAAGGCGACGAUCCCUAGCUGGUCUGAGAGGAUGACCAGCCACACUGGAACUGAGACACGGUCCAGACUCCUACGGAAGGCAGCAG